UUGCUGCCAGUACAUUUUAUUAUGAUACUAUAAGCUCAGAAAUUAAGUUGAUCAAACAAUUCGAUCUGUGCUAUAAACAUUUAAAUGAACCUACAGAAUAGGCUAUCAAAAUAGAAUCAUCUGAAUGAUCUUUCUUGGACAUACAUUUUGAAGUGACCCUUCGAAUUAAAAAGGUUCCUCAGCUGCUUUUGAGGAAAAACAUCAAUGUGCUUGGCCACUCUGGUUUUUAAAUGGUAUUCUGAACUAAAGCAAGGAUUGUUCAAGUUAGUUGAAAAUAGACCGUCUCUGGUUAAAUUUAGUUCUACACCAAGCCUUUAGGUGGCAGUAAAACGAAUUGGCACAAUGCGAAUUCCACACACAAGCCACAAAGAAGCCAUCAGCCGCGGUCAACAGCACCUUCCUGAUUGAACAGAACCACGCGUUGUCUGUGUGGUUUACAAGUUUCUUGGCGAUAUGGGGGGAAAGUUCCUCACAUACCAACGGAAAAUGGGCUUCAUAUACAUGCUGCUGUCUCAUAAUAUGGCGAAGACGAGUCACCUGAAGGCCUAACUCGCCAUAGAAGACUGAAAGAAUUGUCCUGCAGGAUGCUGUGUCCUGCAAUCCUGUGUGCUGUGCUACAGACGCGUGUGGAGGUCAACCCAAAAUGGGCACAGUCUCACCACAGAAGAGUGAAAGAGGAUCCUGGCAGGGAGACGGUAGUGUCCUGCAGAAUGGUGAUGGGCCAAUCUUACAAGAGACCACAGAAAACUGAUAUAGUGAACUAUAGAAACAACAGUGCCUGCUGCAGUAUAACGAGGACACCCUGAGCAGAGAGCUCCAAUAGACCCAGGUCCAGUGUCUUGGCAGGGUGAAAUGACACUGAUAUGGUGUCCUGCAGGAUGCUGUGUCCUGCAAUCCUGUGUGCUGUGCUACAGACGCGUGUGGAGGUCAACCCAAAAUGGGCACAGUCUCACCACAGAAGAGUGAAAGAGGCUCCCAGAAGUGAGACUGAGUGCCUGUUGCAGUAUGACGAGGACGCAGUGACCAGAGACCCU
Molecule: long non-coding RNA, 1034 nt
Organism: Engraulis encrasicolus (European anchovy)
Lineage: Eukaryota; Metazoa; Chordata; Actinopteri; Clupeiformes; Engraulidae
Exons: 7
Source: RefSeq, a predicted model, not a curated record